This is a microRNA precursor of Drosophila melanogaster (fruit fly), 71 nucleotides long. It matches the Rfam family "mir-929 microRNA precursor family". The record is from Rfam. Lineage: Eukaryota; Metazoa; Arthropoda; Insecta; Diptera; Drosophilidae.
GGAGCUCAAAUUGACUCUAGUAGGGAGUCCUUUAAUGAGCGACUCCCUAACGGAGUCAGAUUGAGCUGCAA